Molecule: unclassified non-coding RNA, 253 nt
Filed under: fungal sp.
Lineage: Eukaryota; Fungi
Description: partial internal transcribed spacer region
Rfam family: Eukaryotic small subunit ribosomal RNA (bases 1-46)
Source: RNAcentral
AAGUCGUAACAAGGUUUCCGUAGGUGAACCUGCGGAAGGAUCAUUAAAAAAAUUGUCUACCAAUAUGGACGAUUUCAAAAUCCAUAUUCACCUUGUGUGCACAGUAAUUUGAAAACGGCGAGAUCUUUUUUCCUCCAAGAAGAAAGAUUUCGUGUGUUUUCCAACUACGCCUAUAACAAUUGUCUGAAACUUUUUGAUUAUUAAAUCAGAAAUAUAAUAAAAACAACUUUCAACAACGGAUCUCUAGGCUCUC